RNAcentral lists this ribosomal RNA (474 nucleotides) under uncultured bacterium. Its description in RNAcentral is "partial 16S ribosomal RNA". It matches the Rfam family "Bacterial small subunit ribosomal RNA", at positions 28 to 523 of the family's 1533-position model. The record is from RNAcentral.
GACGAACGCUGGCGGCGUGCCUAAUGCAUGCAAGUCGCACGCAGCGCCUUUCGGGGCGCUGAGUGGCGCACGGCUGAGGAACACGUGGGAACCUGGCCCCUGGUGGGGGACAACAGCGCGAACGGGGGGCUAAUACCGCCUUCGUUCCCGCGGGGAAGUGCCGCGGGAGGCAAGUCUUCGGGCGCUGGAGGAGGGGCUUGCGUCCUAUCAGGUAGUUGGUAGGGUAACGGCCCACCAAGCCUACGACGGGUAGCUGGUCUGAGAGGACGAUCAGCCAGACGGGGACUGAGACACGGCCCCGACUCCUACGGGAGGCAGCAGCGAGGAAUCUUGCGCAAUGGGCGAAAGCCUGACGCAGCAACGCCGCGUGGGGGAAGAAGGCCCUCGGGUCGUAAACCCCUUUUGCAGGGGAAGAAGCUCUGACGGUACCCUGCGAAUAAGCCACGGCUAACUACGUGCCAGCAGCCGCGGUAA